This 748-nucleotide long non-coding RNA is filed under the name Salmo salar (Atlantic salmon). Its description in RNAcentral is "lncRNA (ENSSSAG00000095625.1, ENSSSAG00000120391.1)". Lineage: Eukaryota; Metazoa; Chordata; Actinopteri; Salmoniformes; Salmonidae. The record is from RNAcentral.
UGGUCUUCGGUGUUGCAUCUUGUGUCUAUAAAAUGAGCUGCUCUCAAUGUGUAGAUAAUCCUUUUUUUAUGAUAGAUCGUUAGCCAUGGAGAACUGCAAAUAUGUCGCUACUGCGCUCAAUGACAUUGUUGCCCUGAAUUUAUCAGGCGCUAUCGACAAAGGUCAGUGGGAAAAAGUUGUGAUGGACUAUCGUGCCAUGCAAUGCUGACUCUCUCUCACUCUGAAAAUAACACGUUUCGAAAUCAGUGGAAAGCAAAGGGCCAAACAAGCUGUGCAAACUAAACGGAAACAACACAGGAUGUCUUAUAAAAGUCGUUGCACUGUGCCGUGAAGCUUUCAUCCGUGUAUACAUACAGCAUCAAUUAGUAUAACACGCCUGACAGACAGCACUGUGACGGGUCAACAUCCCACAGGUGGUUGGACUGGAGGAUGGUAUGGUGCUGAUAAAAGCUAUUGCUGGCAACAACACCUGACUCCGUACUUCAGGCCGCUGCAACAGAUCAAGCAGUACCAGCGCUUCAGGUUUCAGCUGCUUCGCAACGCUGACAUCCUUCCUCCCAUAGAUGGUCUGCCUGUAAAAGCGCCAUCUGGACUGGACACAGCUCGACAAGAUCAGGGAGUUUUGCGACGAAGAGGCUAUGGACAUCACAUGCCCUGCACCAAAGUCAAUGGCAGGACUGAAACAGGCUCGCCGAAUAUAGAUUGCCUUGUCGUGCGUGGUUCGGAAGACCAGUCAUAAGCACUAUCU